Long non-coding RNA from Mus musculus (house mouse), 1804 nucleotides. RefSeq annotates it as predicted gene, 54246. The record is from RefSeq and is a predicted model, not a curated record. The transcript has 4 exons. Lineage: Eukaryota; Metazoa; Chordata; Mammalia; Rodentia; Muridae.
GGGCGGAGGGGGCGUUGCACAAGGAGGAGGAUGAGUUGCUGCAUUUUUCAAAGGUCGUACCUAGGCUGCUGGUCCCAGGUCAGUCUUGGAACAGCAGAGCGUAUAGGAUUGCAGCUGUUUAUUCUGGAGCUGUGCCAAGCAAGCAGGCCACAUCUGUGAUAAGAAAACAGGCUCACUGCAGUUCACAUGCAUAUGGAGAUCAGAGGACAACUUGUGGGAGAAAAGUAUCUUGUAUUCAACGAUGCAGAUUCCAGGGACUAAACUCAGGUCAUCGGGCUUGGGACGUUUACAGCUUGUUUACACACUGAGCUGUCUUGCCAGCCCUGAGGACUUUUGGGACUUGGCUCUUCUUCUUCUCCAUCCUCAAUCUGGCUGUCUUUGCCUUAGAGACUUUCUUCUAUUAACUUCUCAUUUCUGACUCCAGCAAUGUAUGGGUCUGCAGAAGAGCUCACGAUAUGGAAGCACUAUUAGACCAUGAGAGUGCAAACCGAGUUUGCUCAAGUCCUUUCCAGAGCUGCUGGUGUCUAGUAAGGUUCAUAUGGUCAUGGCAUCUCAUCUCAUCUGUAUAGAUGCUCCGAUGAUCCUUUAUAUGACCUUGGAAGAGAGAGCAUAGAAAAAGAACAGGAUAGAGGGCUUGUGUGAAGCUCUGGAGGGGAUUACAAUGGAUCUGGACCCAAGAGAUUUUCCAUAGCUACUCAGCACCGUGGGGCUUGGAUGGACAACAACCCAAGACUCUUCCCUCUUGGCCCGUGUGCUUCCUUUUCUUUCACUCUUCAUGGCUUGAGAAAACAGCUGCCCCUUGUCAUCUCGUUAAAAAUUCAUCUAAUGUGGAAACAGGAAACGACUCUGGUUCUGAGGCAGUGAAACUGGGUCCCCUUGAGCAGGUGGCUUGGACACACCCACACUAAGAGGCACUGAGAGAACAGAUGGGCCUCAGGAAAGCAAUAUUAAACCCGAGCAGGGUCUAAGGAAGGGCUUUGUAGUUAAAUCAUGUUAGAGCAAGUUUGGUUCCAAGGGUCUCGUGACCCUUCUAAGCACACUCACACAUCUGGAUAUUGGAUUGAAUCCCAAAAGAAAUGCAUCCUUGAGGAUCAUCUAGGGACAGGCUUUUGAACGAAACAAGAGAACCGAAUGAUGAAUUGUCAUAUGGUUGAUGUUGACCAGGUGUUCAUCAUUAGAAGGCUGAACAAGAUGCAGGCCAUAAACACGACCCAGCAUUAGGAGAAAUGUGGAUGCUUUUGCUUAAUUACUUUCAACUCAGUGCCAGUCCAGGGUCUGGGAUGUGGUAGGUUUUUUACCACGAUUUGCUGACUGAAUAGAUGGGCUCUUGUGAAACUGCAUGACUGGGAAAAGUCUCACAAGCCACUUAUGCGUCUGGUUUGGAAGAGGGUUGGUGGCAAAAUACAAGAUUCUUAUAAGCGUUUUGACAUCAGGCUGGCCCAGCUGACGUACCAGCUCGAGCACCACCCAAAUUCAAGGCAGGAAAAGGCCUGGUGGAGGUUUUUAUGGUUGAGGGUUGGGUUUUGGAUUGUGAUGGUGGACUUCCAGCUGUGUUGAACCUCUCUCUUCCCACUGAAAUGCUACCCAUCAUACACACACACACACAAACAAUCUGGAAGGAAUGACGUCUCAUGAAUAGUUCGUAGGUCUCUGGGAAGCACUUCUCCUACCACAGAGCUGAUGGGAUGGGAUUAAGAAAUAAGUGUCAUUGACCUUAAAGAAAAAUAGAGCCACUUGCAUAGCAGAAUGUUUUGCUUCCUGUUGCUUUGGUUAGUUUUCUAAAUAAACAGCCCAUUUCAAAUUC